RNAcentral lists this long non-coding RNA (264 nucleotides) under Hordeum vulgare. RNAcentral's name for it is "long non-coding RNA (HVUL_LNC017629)". The record is from RNAcentral. Lineage: Eukaryota; Viridiplantae; Streptophyta; Magnoliopsida; Poales; Poaceae.
UUUAUAUUUAUUUCCUUUUGAUUGAUUCAUGUGCAGUGUAAUGUUCUUGUAGGAUGACAAGUUGUCGCAUCUCGAGCAUGUUUCAUAGGAGAGUGGAAUGAAGUCCAUUGUACUAUUGGGAUAGUAGCAAAUGUGCCAUUGUUCUAUUGUGCAAUUCUGUCCGUUCUUGCUAUAUUCAUGUUUAAGGAAUCUAUUCAUGAGAUGAGUUAUUGUAUUAUGUAAACCUGGGAGAUGUAUUAUGUGAUGUUAUAUUAUGGAUGAUUU